CGCCCACCUCAGCCUCCCAAAGUGCUGGGAUUACAGGCAUGAGCCACCGCGCCCGGCCAGCCUGUGCAUUCUUAGGUGACCAAUAUAUAGUUAGC
This 95-nucleotide microRNA precursor is filed under the name Chlorocebus sabaeus (green monkey). RNAcentral's name for it is "miRNA (ENSCSAG00000022192.1)". Lineage: Eukaryota; Metazoa; Chordata; Mammalia; Primates; Cercopithecidae. The record is from RNAcentral.